CAGUCGCCACGGUAAUACGGAGGGGGCUAGCGUUGUUCGGAAUUACUGGGCGUAAAGCGCACGUAGGCGGCUUGGUAAGUUAGAGGUGAAAGCCCGGAGCUCAACUCCGGAAUUGCCUUUAAGACUGCCGAGCUAGUAGGUGAGAGAGGUAAGUGGAAUUCCGAGUGUAGAGGUGAAAUUCGUAGAUAUUCGGAAGAACACCAGUGGCGAAGGCGGCUCACUGGACGACUGUUGACGCUGAGGUGCGAAAGCGUGGGGAGCAAACAGGAUUAGAUACCCCAGUAGUCCCUGUCUCUUAUAC
RNAcentral lists this ribosomal RNA (301 nucleotides) under uncultured bacterium. RNAcentral's name for it is "partial 16S ribosomal RNA". It matches the Rfam family "Bacterial small subunit ribosomal RNA", at positions 509 to 807 of the family's 1533-position model. The record is from RNAcentral.